CUGCAGUACAAGAGCUGAGACAAGAUACAAUAACAAUGAACGACAACAUCACAACCAUGAUACGGUUCUGGAAUAUCGGGUAAGACCGACAGCAACAUCCAGCUUGGGGGAGUUCCUCCCAAUUUGUCAAGUAAGUUUUUAUUUGCUCUUCUUAUUUAUUCUUUUCUAUUUUAGUGUUUAUUUAUCUUAAAGAGAAAAACUUAGAAAACCAAAUAAAUAUUUUCUUGCUUAAAUUUACUGCAUUUUAUAAAUAUGAAAACAAAAUAAAAAGAGUGUGUAGAUAAGAGUGCUUUAUUUAUCUGCUAAAUAUUAAUCUCUAGAAAAAAUAAAAAGACCAAAAAGAUGUAUGAUGGAAAUGAUGAAUAGUUGCUCUGUUUGCUUACUUUCAAGUACCUAGCUUUUAUAUUAGAGUUCUUCCAGGAAUUACUAAAACUUAAUUUACUAUGUAUGGAAAGCAUAAAACUAAAGUCUAGGUAAGAGAAAGGCAUAAUAUAAAGUUUGAGCUGCUAUUUAUCUUGUUCCUACUAAACUAAGUUCUGGAGAUUUAUUUUGGAAACUUACAAAUCACAUGAUGAGUUCCUAGCAUUAUAAACUACCUACCACAACCAUACUUGCUAUAACAUCUUUUACUACACUUACAUUGAGUUUCGAGCUGUGUUGACCCUUAGGAGCUUGUCAUGUGGUUAAAUUAAGAUAUUCACUUGCACACAUCUACUACACCAUCCACCACCAUUUAUUAAAAUUGCUAAAAGUAAUAUUAUCACUCACUGUCCCAAGUAUUGUUAUUCUCUCUCUCUAAGAAGAUUCAAUGCAGAAGAGGCAUGGGUUAUGCAAAAAUAGACGAGGAAAUAAAAAGGGGCAAGUGCCCGGAAUCUCGGAAAGAAAGAAAAAGAGUGAGACGAGAGGUAAAAAUGGAUAAGUGUCCGACAGUAGAAUUAGGGGUAUCUACUACCCACCUGAAAAAAAAGAGAGAAAAAGAUAGCCCAUGCUCUCCCAAAGCAAAGAUCAAAGAAGAGGAG
Molecule: long non-coding RNA, 1019 nt
Filed under: Sorghum bicolor (sorghum)
Lineage: Eukaryota; Viridiplantae; Streptophyta; Magnoliopsida; Poales; Poaceae
Description: long non-coding RNA (SBIC_LNC010691)
Source: RNAcentral